AUGUGCCUACAAGCGGUCGGAGCACCUUCUGGUGUGACGGCGUGCCUUUUGCAUAAUGAACCUACGAGUUACUUUUUCCGGCGAGGUUAAGGAUUUCAGAUCUGCAGCCGAAGCGAAAGCGAGUCUGAACAGGGCGUAUAGUCGGAAGGAGUAGACGCGAAACCAAGUGAUCUACCCUUGGGCAGGUUGAAGGAUGGGUAACACCAUCUGGAGGACCGAACCAAUAAGCGUUGAAAAGCUUCUGGAUGACCUGAGGGUGGGGGUGAAAGGCUAAUCAAACUUGGAGAUAGCUCGUACUCCCCGAAAUGCAUUUAGGUGCAGCCUUGACUUAUACUGGCAUGAGGUAGAGCGACUGAUAAGAUGCGAGGGCUUCACCGCCUAUCAAGUCUUGACAAACUCCGAAUGCGUGUCAGUUCUAUGUCAGGAGUGAGGGCAUGGGUGCUAAGGUCCAUGUCCUAAAGGAGAACAAUCCGGACCAACAGCUAAGGUCCCGAAAUGAAUACUAAGUUGAACUAACGAAGUCAGAUUGCUAAGACAGCUAGGAUGUUGGCUUGGAAGCAGCCAUUCAUUUAAAGAGUGCGUAACAGCUCACUAGUCGAGGAGUUUGGCGUGGAUAAUAAUCGGGCAUAAGUAUUCUACCGAAGCUUUGGGAUGAGAAAUCAUCGGUAGGGGAGCAUUCCACUCGGCGUCGAAGGUGAAGCGCGAGCUUUGCUGGAGCGUGUGGAAAAGCAAAUGUAGGUAUAAGUAACGAUAAAGGGGGUGGGAAACCCCCUCGCCGAAAGACUAAGGUUUCCUGAUCAACGCUAAUCGGAUCAGGGUAAGUCGGGUCCUAAGGCUCAGCCGAACGGCGAGGCCGAUGGCAGAACCGGUUAAUAUUCCGGUACUACCUGUGGGAGUGACGUGGAGACGGAGUCGUGACAGCGCCGCGGACUGACGGAAUAGUCCGUUGAAGGGUGUAGAUGCUGAUUGUUCCAGGCAAAUCCGGAGCAAGAGUCGAACCUGACAGUAUGGAGCGUUCUUAGAACAAUCCAAUAGUGCGUGUAAUCAUACUUCCAAGAAAAUCCGCUAAACUUAAUCCUGCAGGUACCCGUACCGCAAACGGACACACGUAGUCGGGUUGAAUAUACUAAGGCGCUUGAGUGAUUCACGGUUAAGGAACUAGGCAAACUGACCCUGUAACUUCGGGAUAAAGGGUCCUCGCUUUACGGCGAGGCGCAGAGAAUAGGUCCAGGCAACUGUUUAACAAAAACACAGGGCUGUGCAAAAUUGAAAGAUGAAGUAUACAGCCUGACACCUGCCCGGUGCUGGAAGGUUAAGAGGAGAUGUCAUCGCAAGAGAAGCAUUGAAUUGAAGCCCCAGUAAACGGCGGCCGUAACUAUAACGGUCCUAAGGUAGCGAAAUUCCUUGUCGGGUAAGUUCCGACCUGCACGAAUGGUGUAAUGAUCUGGACGCUGUCUCAACCGUGAGCUCAGUGAAAUUGUAGUAUCGGUGAAGAUGCCGAUUACCCGCGAUGGGACGAAAAGACCCCGUGAACCUUUACUAUAGCUUAACAUUGAAUUUGGGUAAUUGAUGUGUAGGAUAGGCCGGAGGCUUCGAAGCGGGCACGCCAGUGUCCGUGGAGCCGCUGUUGAAAUACGGCCCUUUGAUUAUUUGAGUUCUAACCCGUUGUUGCGGGGACACUGUUUGGUGGGUAGUUUGACUGGGGUGGUCGCCUCCAAAAGUGUAACGGAGGCUUCUAAAGGUGCCCUCACGACGAUUGGUAACCGUCGGCAGAGUGUAAUGGCAUAAGGGCGCUUGACUGGGAGACUUACAAGUCGAUCAGGUAGGAAACUAGAGCAUAGUGAUCCGGUGUUUCUGUAUGGAAAGGACAUCGCUCAAAGGAUAAAAGGUACUCCGGGGAUAACAGGCUGAUCCCUCCCAAGAGCUCAUAUCGACGGAGGGGUUUGGCACCUCGAUGUCGGCUCGUCACAUCCUGGGGCUGGAGAAGGUCCCAAGGGUUGGGCUGUUCGCCCAUUAAAGUGGCACGCGAGCUGGGUUCAGAACGUCGUGAGACAGUUCGGUCUCUAUCUAUCGUGGGCGCAUGAAAUUUGCGUGGCUCUGACACUAGUACGAGAGGACCGUGUUGGACUGACCUCUGGUUUACCGGUUGUGCCGCCAGGUGCAUUGCCGGGUAUCUAAGUCGGGAUUGGAUAAGUGCUGAAAGCAUCUAAGUACGAAGCCAGCCACAAGAUUAGAUUUCUCAGGGUCGUUGUAGACUACAACGUUGAUAGGAUGCAGGUGUACAGGCAGCGAUGUCAUAGCCGAGCAUUACUAAUUGCCCGUCCACUUUUUGCCU
Molecule: ribosomal RNA, 2335 nt
Filed under: Bacteroides uniformis
Lineage: Bacteria; Pseudomonadati; Bacteroidota; Bacteroidia; Bacteroidales; Bacteroidaceae
Description: partial 23S ribosomal RNA
Rfam family: Bacterial large subunit ribosomal RNA
Source: RNAcentral